AAAAAUAAAAGCGAAUUCCAGCUCCGGUUGCAGCUAAAGAAGGGCGAGAGGGGACAGUUUGCGCUGGGACAGCGUCCGCCGGGGCUCCUGACUCGCAUCACACCCGCAUCGGGCUGGGAAAGUUUCCUCUUUCUGCCUGUUGGAAUUCACUUGAGAUUCCCAGCCCCGAGGAUUGGAGAAGCUUCCUGGAUACAGUGAUGCUGGGGCCAAACUGGGCACAUAUGGGAAUUCCUGGCGUUGUGACGCUUUGCAUUAAAAAAAAAAAAAACCGCAAACUAUUUAAGAUAGGAGCAGAGCACUAGAUAUAGGACUUAGCCUGAGCGACUGCCCCAUCUUCCUCUUUUCGCCUCUCUUUGGUGGGCCUUGGUGCCAGAUGCUCGCCCCUCCCACAGUCCAGACGGAUUCCGGGCUGGGCUGCAGGGAUCCAGGUGACUGACUGGACAUGCAUCGUUUCCAGGUGGGGGGCUGGGAGGCCCAGGCAGCCCUGAGUCAGCCCGCCGAGGAGCAUUGCGUGCCCCAGAGGCUGGAGCUUGAAAGGCAACUUUACGCGUCUCCAAACAUACUCUUCCAUUUUCCCAAAGCGCUACUCGCCACCCCAUUCUGGUUCCCUUUACUCUUCAUUCAUCGGAUGGAAAAGGUCAAACAAUUCUCCCCAAACCCUAAAAACAAAACUCGAGGAAAUUCUCUCCGUCUCUUUUCCUUGUUCGAGCUCCCUCCCCAAGCACGGCCGGGGCUGGAUUGCCCCCGACCGCUUUCUCCCCCGGCCUGCGGAAGCAGGGAGAAAGUUGGGCGCCGCUCGGAGCGCCUCUUCCCCCGCUGUGUGUGUACGUGUGCACGCUCACGUCUCCCCGGCGCCUGGGCUGGGGACAGGAACUGCUCCGGGCACCGUCAGUCCGACGGCGCUGCUCUGGGGGCUUGCAGGGCUGGGGGAGGGCGGGGACGCGAGCGCCGCGCCACUCACCCCGGGUUGACGCUUCCUCGCCCCUCCCCCGCCGUCUCCAUCCUCCUCCAGGAGAACAGGGCGCAGAUUUGAAAUGUAUGUCCAGCGACCAGUGAAGACCUCCGGCUCAACAGAGAAAAAUGGAAGCUUUGGUCCCCAGCCGCUCCGGCGAAGAACCAAAGAUCACUGUGGUCUGAUUUUUACAGACUCCGUACCACUGUUGCAGCCUGUGAUUCUGAGGUGCAAAAUUGGCCAGCCCAGAGAGGGGAGAACUGCUCCUCUGUUAGCCGGCUGCCGUCACAGCGCCUGGGACGUGUGUCAGGAUUCCCUGGGAAGGAUACCUCACCUGGCCAGGGCAGAAUGGACCAGUUGCUUCGGCUUUAAUUUCCGGCGCUUUACAAAGGCUGAGCCGAAGGCUGCACCGCCAGAAGCUUGGAAUUUGCCUGGCCUGCUGGAUGGAGAGAGUCUGAAUCGGAUUCUGGGGGCUUGGAAAGACAGUCAAAAGACUCUUCCCUUCCCUGAAAUAGCCACGCAUUUGUUUAAAGACUUGAAACCAUUCUGAUGCUGGAAUUUCCCUCUGUGUUUAUUUUCACAUCUGGGUGAUGGUCUUCUGCCACUGGAGGACUUUUAAUGAAUCACUUUAGAGAUUGCUUUUAAUGUUUCCCAGAUGAGAGGGGCUGGCACUUGUCUGUUUCCUGAGGCCUGACAGGGCAGGACCGACCGGGCUUCCCGGCUGGCCGCCUGGAGCAGCCCCUUGGGGGGAGUGGACAGGCAUUUCUUGUCUUUCUGGGAAAACUGCUCCUCAGAGCUCCUGAUCCCCGGGCUCUCUUUCCACACGAGGAGGGGGAAAAGGUGGAAUGGAAUAUAAAUAAAAGAGAUAGACUAGUUUUAACUGGUCCAAGAUGUUACGGGCUGCGCUCUCGGUAGCCACUGGCAGCCGGCACCCCUCUGUGCUCCCAGGCUCUGGUUUGCGGUGUCACGGGCUCCAAGAGACAAGGCUGGUUGGGGUCGCUUCCAGAGGGCAGCCUGGGAAGCUCAGGAAGGUGUUGGCUCAGCUCAGGAGUCAUUGGCUGCCAGGUGCCUUCUGAUGGAAGCCUGUUCCCAGGGCCCAGCGGUGGCCAGGGUCUCUAUGACCACGUCAGGUCCAUGGUUCCCGUUCACUCUUAGCCUGACAGACAAGCUCCAUUGCAGUCGCAUUUCUGCUCCGUGUCCCUCUGUCACGCCCCCCUCCGCCCCCCAUACUCCAUGUUCCAGCCACAUCUCAUACAUUCUUUUGGGUGCUUUCUAGUUGUCCCCACCCCAGAGCCCCCUGCACCCUCCUCUGCCCAGCUCUGAGCCCCAGGAGUCAGACCGCUAGGGGUGCCUCAUCCAGGCUCCCCUGCCUCGCCCUCUGGCUUCCUGCUGGUGUGGGCCUAUGGGGAGCCCCACAGCAGCUCUGGGGGUAGGGGAAGGGGAGAGAGAGGUGGGGGGAUUUAUUCCUCUGGCUCCCCUGCUGUGAGGUCAUCUCAGGUUGGCUGCGUGACUUAGAAGUCUCGCACCCUCUUAAGGUGGGCUUCUCUACAUAGUUUUCUCUUUCUGCAUCUGGGUAACUGCUGCCUUCCUUCAUCCUUUUGGGUCCAGGGGUGGUACAGAACCUGGAAUCCCGCACUACCUUUUGUGGUUUUCCUGUAUCUUGUCCACACUUUUGUCAAUAGUCUGUUUGCUAAAUCCUUCUUGAAUUCUCUUAUUUGAGUGUUCCUGCUGGAACUCAGACAGAGGUAGAUAGAUAGAUAGAGAGACAUAAUGUUAUUUUAUAUACCUGUACCCCUUUCCCAUGUUUAUUCCCUCUACAAGAAUUCCCUUCUUCACCUUGGCUACCUGAUGAACUGCUUCUCAUCCUUCAAAAUCCCACUGAAACAUCACCUCUGAAGCCUAUCUUGAGUUCCCCAUUAGAGUUCAUGACUUCCCCCUUGGCCUUCUAUCUCUCUAUGUGGUGUCAAUCAUGUCCAUAUACUUAACACCUCCAUCCUAACCACUUGCUAAUCAGACAUGUCCAAACUUUCCCUCACCAAAAUUUUACUAUGUUUAAUUCCUUCAAAAUCUGAUAAAGUGACUGUCUAAAGGGCCUGCUUCAAUGCCUGGCCCAGGCAUAUAGAUGCUCAAUAAAUAAUAGCUAUUAUCAGAAAACAUCAUACUGAAGUGUGAAUGGCUAUGUGUUUUAAUGCAUUAUCUCUUCCAGGAGCAGCUUACAUUUAUAAGGGAUUUUUUGGAGUUAAAAGAACCUCCGAUGAAUCUCUAA
Long non-coding RNA from Balaenoptera musculus (blue whale), 3218 nucleotides. RefSeq lists it as uncharacterized. NCBI's taxonomy places the organism in Eukaryota, Metazoa, Chordata, Mammalia, Artiodactyla, Balaenopteridae. The record is from RefSeq and is a predicted model, not a curated record. The transcript is spliced from 5 exons.